ACAGAGGGGGCAAGCGUUGUUCGGAAUUACUGGGCGUAAAGGGCGCGUAGGCGGCCUGCUAAGUCGAACGUGAAAUCCCCGAGCUCAACUCGGGAACUGCGUCCGAUACUGGUUGGCUUGAAUCCGGGAGAGGGAUGCGGAAUUCCAGGUGUAGCGGUGAAAUGCGUAGAUAUUGGGAGGAACACCAGUGGCGAAGGCGGCUCACUGGACCGGUACUGACGCUGAGGCGCGAAAGCGUGGGGAGCAAACAGGA
RNAcentral lists this ribosomal RNA (253 nucleotides) under uncultured prokaryote. RNAcentral's name for it is "partial 16S ribosomal RNA". It matches the Rfam family "Bacterial small subunit ribosomal RNA", at positions 525 to 777 of the family's 1533-position model. The record is from RNAcentral.